This 515-nucleotide ribosomal RNA is filed under the name uncultured bacterium. RNAcentral's name for it is "partial 16S ribosomal RNA". It matches the Rfam family "Bacterial small subunit ribosomal RNA", at positions 28 to 523 of the family's 1533-position model. The record is from RNAcentral.
GAUGAACGCUGGCGGCGUGCCUAAUACAUGCAAGUCGAGCGAAUGGAUUAAGAGCUUGCUCUUAUGAAGUUAGCGGCGGACGGGUGAGUAACACGUGGGUAACCUGCCCAUAAGACUGGGAUAACUCCGGGAAAACGGGGCUAAUACCGGAUAACAUUUUGAACCGCAUGGUUCGAAAUUGAAAGGCGGCUUAGGCUGUCGAUUAUGGAUGGACCAGCGUCGCAUUAGCUAGUUGGUGAGGUAACGGCUCACCAAGGCAAAGAUGCGUAGCCGACCUGGGAGGGUGAUCGGCCCCACUGGGACUGAGACACGGCCCAGACUCCUACGGGAGGCAGCAGUAGGGAAUCUUCCGCAAUGUACGAAAGUCUGACGGAGCAACGCCGCGUGAGUGAUGAAGGCUUUCGGGUCGUAAAACUCUGUUGUUAGGGAAGAACAAGUGCUAGUUGAAUAAGCUGGCACCUUGACGGUACCUAACCAGAAAGCCACGGCUAACUACGUGCCAGCCGCCGCCGUAA